UACGUAGGUGGCAAGCGUUAUCCGGAUUUACUGGGUGUAAAGGGCGUGUAGGCGGGAAAGCAAGUCAGAUGUGAAAACCAUGGGCUCAACCUGUGGCCUGCAUUUGAAACUGUUUUUCUUGAGUACUGGAGAGGCAGACGGAAUUCCUAGUGUAGCGGUGAAAUGCGUAGAUAUUAGGAGGAACACCAGUGGCGAAGGCGGUCUGCUGGACAGCAACUGACGCUGAGGCGCGAAAGCUUGGGGAGCAAACAGG
This 253-nucleotide ribosomal RNA is filed under the name uncultured bacterium. RNAcentral's name for it is "partial 16S ribosomal RNA". It matches the Rfam family "Bacterial small subunit ribosomal RNA", at positions 524 to 776 of the family's 1533-position model. The record is from RNAcentral.